GCGGCUUCCUCAGUCCGUUUCCGACGCGGAUUGGGGUGACAGCGGCGCUGAGAAGGGUCAUGAGAUGUAGGACUAUAAUUCUUCCCUGAAAGAAGUUGCUCUUCAGAUUGCACGUCAGAAUCCAGGUUGCUCGAUGCUCAUGGUGAUUGCAAAGGUUAUUGAUUAUGCUGGAAUGUGUUCUACAAAUACAUCAACAACAUACAUUCAUUCAUGAGGAGAGACAUUGAAUGCAGGUAGCCCGAUUAAUCCUGACCUCACUUGAUACCUACUUGAGGCCACUUUAUAGGAGCAAUUAGAUGUUGGAUGUCUUGUGUAUCUCUCCCGCCAUGAGUCAACUAUGCUGUGACUAUGAUACCCCGUGCCAAUACCCAGACUAAGCUUACCUAAAACAAAACAAACAAGGGUUCAAAUUUGGAAUAGGGUGUGACGAAAGAUGCAAAGGUCCUUGUCACAGUUCAUCCCCAGCAGCUGCGUAACAGAGGAUUCUCUGAUCUACGGGCUGUUCCCAGGGACACACACAGAGACGAACAUCAACUGCUGCUGGAACGUCAUCAACUCAGUGAAAGACGCCCUUUGGUCUGCCCGAAACAUGUUGGUCUUCCAGCACUGCAAGAUGUCCGUAGGGGAAUGCUGCCGACUGGCACAUUCCAGGCUCCAGGAGUACGUGCUGAGGGACAAACUGAAGCUGGGUGCUGCCAAUGCAAGGCUCAGUGGGGAAGGACUACAGUUUAGGGUUCUUCUGCCACUGGAGAGGGAGGGGUGGGGUCAGGCGAGGAAGCCCCUUAAA
This is a long non-coding RNA of Pristis pectinata (smalltooth sawfish), 787 nucleotides long. RefSeq lists it as uncharacterized. The transcript is spliced from 3 exons. Lineage: Eukaryota; Metazoa; Chordata; Chondrichthyes; Rhinopristiformes; Pristidae. The record is from RefSeq and is a predicted model, not a curated record.